UUAACUGAAACCAAAAGAGAGGUAUAUUAUUGUUAAUAAUAAAAUUGAAUUAUUAAUUCCAGUUAAG
Molecule: transfer RNA, 67 nt
Filed under: Microcerotermes serrula
Lineage: Eukaryota; Metazoa; Arthropoda; Insecta; Blattodea; Termitidae
Description: tRNA-Asn
Source: RNAcentral